UCUUAUGUUUUUGGUAGAUCUACUACAAUGAUUUUCAAACUUACAGAUUUCAACCUAUUAGUGGGUCACAGAAUCAGUGUAAUCUGUUGCAACCCAGAAAUUUUUUAAUUGGAAUAAUAAAAGGGAAGAAAAAUGAAAUAUCAUAGGGCAACUCAGUGUGACUUUUGAGUGAUGAGUUAAUUUGAUAUCUUGAAAUGAAUCUGAACAUUUCCCAAGUAGGAGGAGACCCUCUAUAAUCAUGUUGUCUUCAGUUAUAUGUAUAUGCAUAUGUCCAAGGAGAUAUACAGAGUGGUCAGAAAACAUUGAAAGCCACUAAUCUAAAUUAUAGGGAACCGGAUUUUUGAUGCAUAAUGAUCAUUUUACUCUAUUUAAUAAGUAGGAUCCUCAGGGUCAAGCUGUACAUUCCUUGGUACUCUCCUGAAAAAUACAUGCCAGAGUUCUAAAAUUCUGUAGUGUUGUAGAAUUUCUCUUAAAAAUAAAAUAAAUGAUUUCUUAUUUUUAUUACAUAAUUUUGCACCAUCAAUUUUGAUUUCCUUUUGUAUCAGCCAGGAGAGUCUCUAGGACUCGCCCAUGUCUGGGACUCUUUAAAUGCAAUGAGUUUAACUCAUCUUUAAAUGAACAAGCAUUUUUUUUUUUAUUACUGCAGUCACUAGCAUGUUUCCAUAUCAUCUCUUCAUUCCUUAAGGACAUUUGUUAUUAGUGAUGGGUCCUUGGGAGCCAAGCGUUCCCACUGGGCUUGCCUGUCCAUAGACAUCUGACUAGCAGCCUAAUUCCCCACACAACCAUAUUCAAGGUAAUUCACUUGACAGUUACCGAGUGCUUCCCCAUAUAUCAGCCUAGGGCUCAGCAAUGGAGAUUGACUGACUGAUUGAUUGAUUGAUUUGCCAAACCCAUGGCAUGCAGAAGUUCCCAGGACAGGGACUGAACCCAAGCCACAGCAGUGACCUGAGCCACAGCAGUAACAACAACAGCAGAUCCUUAACCUGCUGAGCCACCAGAGAACUUCAUCCCUGGAGAUUUAAAGAAAUAUAAAACUAGUCCCUGUGCUCAAAGUAUUUAUACAACUCUAAUCUUUAAAUAUACUGUCAAUGUUUUUACAUUUAAAAAAAUAUUUCUCAUUCAAACUGUUCACUUUCCUCUCAAAUCUACUUCAGUUUCACUGAAUAUACUGUCUUCAGCUCUAUUCCCCUGUAAAUUUAGGUUUUAAGCAAAUGAUCAAGAUAUUUCCAUUGGCCAAGUUCUCCCAAUCUGCAUUACAGUUAGUCCUGUAGUACAGAUUGUAAAAAUCAGUAAGCACCCCCAUUAUUUUCCAACUAUUAAGCAACUAACCUGUUCUUUAACGUGUGCUGUUAUGCCUUAGCUUAUCACCUUUAGGUCUUGGUUUUACUCCAAAAUGCAUUUGAAAUUUUGAAAUCAUAUUAGAAAGUGUGUAAAGGGAGAGGGGAACCUCUACAAUCAUGUUAAUGUUUGCCAAGCAAUAGUAAAUUGAAGCCCUCUUUAAAAGAAUAAGAUGAGGAUUAUUUCAUACCCAUUGCAUGUAUUUGUACCAAAAAAAAAAAAAAAAAAAGAAAAGUAACUGAUUCCCUCUACAUCCAUUGGGAAAAUAAUAUGGUGGUCAAGGUCUAGCUAAACAGUAUAUUGAAGAUUCAACUAAAACCUCAAAACUAAGCAUAAUGUACUACAGGCAAUAAGUUGAAACCCAUUUAACAGUAGGUCAUCACCAUAACUGGAAUUACAGUAUAGUUAUGUCCAAGCCUAAUUUAUUCCACUCACUGAAUCAGGGCAGCAAGUUAGGGUUUUGCUACAUAAGAAGUCACAGAAAAAUGAAAGAUUCCUAGGAUAGUUUUCUUCCCCAUGGAGUGUUUGCCUAAGGUGUUCACACAUCCACCCACUGAAAUUUAAUCAUUAAUGUAGCACAUCGCUAGAGAGAUGAAAGGCAGCAAAGUGACAUAGGUUAGUUAGAUCUCAGGAGAAAAACCAACAUAUCAAAGUCCUGUCAGAAUAAAAGAUAGGAACCCAAAGGACAAUAGGAAUUUUGUUUUGCACAAAAGAAAUGUUUCUAUUUAUCAAGUUUUACUUACUUGUAAAACUUCUCUUUUCCACCACCAUCUAUCCCACCAAUAUAACUGAUGAAUUAAAUGUUUUACAAUAAAAGUUGUCAAAAUAGAAAAGUCUAACAAAAUUGUUGGUAAGGAUGAUAAGGAUUGAUUUUGCAAGGCUGUUCUAACAUUCUAGUUUUUAAAUAUUUAGGAAAAUAAUGUAACCAGCAAAAUAAGUAAAAAGCCCCAUAAGAAACAAUUUAAAGAAGAAUCAUCAGUCUAGACUAUCAAACUCCAAGUCACAAAUUCAAAUACUUACAGAGCAGUUCAGGUAAAGCAAGAAAUGCAGUUGGUCUAAUAUAAAACCAUAGGGAGAGGUGCCAUAUUAGAAAAUAUCUGCUCGGCUUGGAUAUGUAGCACUAUUCUACUCCAUUAGGUCAUUGCCGUGAGGGAAGCAGGAAAAAGGGUGCCAGAUCUUUUAAUUUUUCAAGAGAAUCUGAAGGCCUGGAUUUUUGUGUUAAUGUUCUCAAUUUUUAUCAAGCUGAAAAUGACAAACAAAAAUUAUGUAUGAGCCAUUUUGAAUUCAAUUUCUGCUAUAUGUGACCUCUAUUCUAGAAGAAUAUAAUUAUAUAAUAUAAGGAAAGGUUGCUCUGUAAUUCAGUUAAUAUUACAAAAAUAUAAUGGAGUUUUGGAAACAAUUAUUUUUUAUCAUUACCUCUGGGAUAUGAUUCAAUUUACCUUUUACUUUUGGUUAAUGUUGAGGAAAAGAUACACAAAACCACUCUAAGAGGGUGGUGUUUGUCAUCAGAGAAGACUUGAAGGUCAUCAGGACCUGGGGUCAGCUUGGUCUAGAUGUCCAGCAAGGCAUUGGAGCAAAACCAGGUCCUAUAAAUUAAAAACUCCUUAGGAAAGGCCAAUCGUUUAAUUCCCUAGCCUUGGUACAUAGCCUUAAGAAUGAGGGAAAUAUGAUUUUAAUAUUUCUCUCCCGUGUAAAUGUCACUCAAAUGUAUCAGCAUAUUUGAAGGGUAUGUUUGUAUUCCUUCCAUUCCCUUAAAAGCCUGAAAUGUCAACACAUAGUCAAUAGCUCAUUUCCUGUUGAUCUUUUAGAACUAAUUUUUUUUAAAUGAAACCAAAGAUUUGUUUUUAAAACUCUCUGGCUCCCCAUUAGGAUUAAUAAUAUUUUGGGCUUGGCAUACACCUCCCAGUCAAUUGGAUGUCUUACCUAAUCACCCCACCCCCAUCUUCACAUCAGACUGAUCAGAGUUGUUUCCCAGUCUUCCAGGCUGAGGCAAGCUGGUACUGAGCUUUCCCCCACAGAGGUCCUCCAUUACCCUACCAGAGUCCCUCCACUUAGCCCAUCACAGAACAAUUUACUCAACAUCCUCUCAACACAGUUGAUUCUUAGUGAAUGUUGCCUUAGUCUCUAACUUUAGCCUCGAUCCAUGAAGCCAAGGAAUUCCAGUGUCACAGAUAAAAUUUGCUAAAAAGUUUAAUUUGGCCUCAAUAGGUGACCUGAAUUUCAGGCCUUUGUUGACAAGAGUGUUGCAGCACCCACUAAAUGUGGCUUAUCCCUGGCAUGCUGGUAAAUCUUAGGUUCAUAUUACUCUGUACUGUUUUGUCAAACGAGGCAUCUUUCAUUUUCUAAUAUUUAAAAAAUCACUCCUAACAAUAUGGCUCCAAAAGAAGGAAAUUUCAAGUGGUGCUUUUCACUGAGUUCCAGGUAAAGAUUUGUAGAAUAUGAAAUAUUGAAAGUUGUGGUCAGAACAAAGAAAGUACAAUAGAUUUUUUUUUUAAAUUACUCUUCACUGAAGCUCACCGAAUACUUAGUAGCACACAUUCCCUUCUCAAGAAAAUCAAAUUUGCAAAUGUACCUAACAUCAAGCACUGUAUCUAGCUCAGAAGAUUGCAGUGGAUGCUCCAAAUCAUUAUUGACUUCCUCUUCAAGUGUUGUGAGUGAAGUCAGGUAGAUUUUCUCAGACUGCCAGUUCCAGUACUUCCUUUUUGGUAUGUUUGAGUAAUAUCAGAUAUAUAGACAUUAUAAAUGGUAAAGUACAUGAGUUAUUCACUAAAAAAUCAAUCAUCAUUUUCCAUCAGUACAAAAUAUAAGGAUUAUGUAUACUAUAUUCACAUAUAUAUGAAUGUGUACAUAUAUAUAUGAAUGUUACAUGUGACUGGGGGGGACCGAGUAGGAAGGAAUAUUAUAGGAAUUACAUAAAAAAAAGAGACUCUAAAGAGAACAGAGUUUUAGGGGAAGAAGAGAAAACAUAGACAUAAAAAAAUAAAUAAAAAUUAAAACAUGGGCUACUUUUCAGAAAGAGUCUUGCAGGCUUAAGAUAACCAGGUUUCCAAGGAAUACUGGAUGUACAAAGUUGAUGGACUCAUGGAUAGAAAGCCCAGCACCAACUCCCAGAAUAUGGGAAGAGGAGGAUAUUACACAGAACUAGACCAGGACAGCAGCACCAAGAAGGCAGCAUGAGGAAAAUCCCUUAAUUUAUAAUUCCCCUAGGCGUGCCCACUCAUUCAACAGUUCACUGAUGGAGUUGAUCGGAAAGGGGGAAAAUAGGGAUUUUCCUUCUCUCUACAAUGUUCUUAAGCUAAUUUUGAAAUAUUAUAUUUUAAUGGGUUAUUUAUUUAAUUAUUUUACGCCAGAAACAUUUAUCGAGGUCUGUGGGGUGGUUGUUUCUUCUAAACAAACUGAAAACCUAGAUAAGAAAGGGAUAUAGAUGAAAAUAUCACAUAUGUUAGUCAUAAGGACUGUCAUAAAUAACUUACUAUAAGAACCAUGACAACCCUGCUAACCAAGCCUGUAAUUCACCAUAUUUUAUUGCCUUGUUACAGAUAACACUAGACAGCAGAUGAUCUGCUCACUCGGGGUGUAAGGUGGCGACCUCUUGCUUCCUAGGCUAGCUAGCCCCCAACAGG
This 4961-nucleotide long non-coding RNA is filed under the name Sus scrofa (pig). RNAcentral's name for it is "lncRNA (ENSSSCG00000057815.1)". Lineage: Eukaryota; Metazoa; Chordata; Mammalia; Artiodactyla; Suidae. The record is from RNAcentral.